GACGAACGCUGGCGGCGUGCUUAACACAUGCAAGUCGAACGGAAAGGCCCCUUUGGGGGUACUCGAGUGGCGAACGGGUGAGUAACACGUAAGUGACCUUCCCUUGACUUCGGGAUAACUUCAGGUAACUGGGGCUAAUACCGGAUAGGGAUCCUUGCUUGAUGGUGGGGGUUGGAAAGCUUCGGCGGUUUUGGAUGGACUUGCGGCGUAUCAGCUUGUUGGUGCGGCAGUGGCUUACCAAGGCGUCGGAGCGUAGCCGGACUGAGUGGGCGACCGGCCACAUAGAGUCCGAGGUACGGCACAGGCUGCGACUGGAGGGCACUGUGGGGAAGAUUGCCCAAUGAGCGGCACGCGGGUGCAGCAAGGCCGCGGGCCGGAAGACGGUCUUCGGGUUGUAGAACGCUUUCAGCAGGAGCGAAGCUUGUGGUGACGGUACCUGCAGAAGAAGCACCGGCUAACUACGUG
RNAcentral lists this ribosomal RNA (465 nucleotides) under uncultured bacterium. Its description in RNAcentral is "partial 16S ribosomal RNA". It matches the Rfam family "Bacterial small subunit ribosomal RNA", at positions 28 to 507 of the family's 1533-position model. The record is from RNAcentral.